RNAcentral lists this unclassified non-coding RNA (208 nucleotides) under Hevea brasiliensis (rubber tree). The record is from RNAcentral. Lineage: Eukaryota; Viridiplantae; Streptophyta; Magnoliopsida; Malpighiales; Euphorbiaceae.
GCGGUUUCCUUCAUGGCGUCGGUGAAGCUCCAUGAUGAGCUUGAGAUCACUGCAAAGGCUCUGGGGCACAAAGGUGGAUACUCAGGGUCGUAUGUAUUACUGAAAAACAAGACGACGGGAGAAGUUGUUGCUGAGGGCCGGCAUUCGAUGUUCGGUAAACUUCAGAGCAAGAUAUAGUUCAUUAUUCUCAUUAUUAUGUUGAACUGUG